AAUAGAUACCCGGGUAGUCCACGCCGUAAACGAUGAGUACUAGGUGUAGGGGGUAUCGACCCCCUCUGUGCCGAAGCUAACGCGAUAAGUACUCCGCCUGGGGACUACGGCCGCAAGGCUAAAACUCAAAGGAAUUGACGGGGGGCCCGCACAAGCAGCGGAGCGUGUGGUUUAAUUCGAUGAUACGCGAAGAACCUUACCUGGGCUCGAACGGCUUCCCAACGGCUUUGGAAACAGAGCUAUCCCGCAAGGGAGUGGAGUCGAGGUGCUGCAUGGCUGUCGUCAGCUCGUGUCGUGAGAUGUUGGGUUAAGUCCCGCAACGAGCGCAACCCUCGCCUUUAGUUGCCGCGCAAGCGGAUCUCUAGAGGGACUGCCGGUGUUAAACCGGAGGAAAGUGGGGAUGACGUCAAGUCAUCAUGGCCUUUAUGACCGAGGGCUACACACGUGCUACAAUGGUAAGUACAGAGGGAAGCUAACUCGCGAGAGGGAGCCAAUCCCAGAAAACUUAUCGUAGUCCGGAGUCGGAGUCUGCAACUCGACUCCGUGAA
RNAcentral lists this ribosomal RNA (548 nucleotides) under uncultured bacterium. RNAcentral describes it as "bacterial SSU rRNA". It matches the Rfam family "Bacterial small subunit ribosomal RNA", at positions 777 to 1324 of the family's 1533-position model. The record is from RNAcentral.